CAUUGUCGCAAAUGGCUGUGAGCCUGUGAUUGCGAACACUGAAGUGUUUUUCUUGAUCGGUUUGUCGAAGUUUGUACUGUAUGCAGGGGAAGUGGCUUCUAAAUGAGAUAAAUUACGGGCCAGAACUUAGAAGAGUUAUGAAUCCAUCGAAAACCGGAGCUGGUACUGACGAGCUACAGGAACGAACACUGUGGUACUUCGAUGUAUUGACCUGUUUGAAAGAACACGAAACCCCCUUCCAAUUAAUUAAGCUCCAUUAACAUAACCACGUGGAUGAGGCGAAGCAGAAGAUGAAGAGAGACGUGAUGUGUGUGCCCGAGCAAAACAUUAUCAUGCUUCAUAUGUACAUAAAGAAGAUACCUCUUAGAUAUGAUCCAAAUGCAAUAACACAAGCUGCAGAUGCUUUUUUUU
Molecule: long non-coding RNA, 411 nt
Organism: Schistocerca piceifrons (Central American locust)
Lineage: Eukaryota; Metazoa; Arthropoda; Insecta; Orthoptera; Acrididae
Exons: 3
Source: RefSeq, a predicted model, not a curated record